GGGAGAAUCCUGAAUUCGAAAGGGGUUGGAUUCAAGUCCAUCCGGUUGCAUAACAGGCUGCCUGGCCCCGCCAGAUGGUGCCGGUCGCCCGCGGCGAUUCAUUUCGCUUGCGGUGUCGUUCCCGGCGAUCACUCGGUGGGGUGGCGUGAACUCUGGCAAUGGAGGAGUGCACUUCCCCCCUAGUAGAAACGUCGCGACCCGUUGGGUGCCGGUCUAAGGCCCGGGAUGGUAGACCAUGUGUCCUGGGGGGGA
This 252-nucleotide ribosomal RNA is filed under the name Lonchodiodes samarensis. Its description in RNAcentral is "partial large subunit ribosomal RNA". Lineage: Eukaryota; Metazoa; Arthropoda; Insecta; Phasmatodea; Lonchodidae. The record is from RNAcentral.